This 298-nucleotide unclassified non-coding RNA is filed under the name fungal sp. RNAcentral's name for it is "partial internal transcribed spacer region". The stretch from base 1 to 46 matches the Rfam family "Eukaryotic small subunit ribosomal RNA", at positions 1786 to 1831 of the family's 1831-position model. Lineage: Eukaryota; Fungi. The record is from RNAcentral.
AAGUCGUAACAAGGUUUCCGUAGGUGAACCUGCGGAAGGAUCAUUAACACGUAUCCACGUUAAAAUCACCGCGAAUUUCUUAGGGUAGGCUUAUUUGAGAUGCCUUAUUCUCGACUUAGCGGUUGAGGUAGGGAUAUUGAAUAGGCUCCUAAGCUUUGACCCUUUCAGGAACAAAUCUUCGGAGGCGUUCCUGAUUGGGGAAUUGAAACCCCCUUUUUUCUAAACUAAAGGCCGUCUCUUUGCAGACCGCUUUUAACCGAUUGCUGUACAACUCUUAGCAACGGAUAUCUUGGUUCUG